Non-coding RNA from Pelobates cultripes (western spadefoot toad), 220 nucleotides. The record is from the annotation of a GenBank genome assembly. Lineage: Eukaryota; Metazoa; Chordata; Amphibia; Anura; Pelobatidae.
CUUCUUCCUUGACACUGCCACCUUAGCGCAACUACAGGACUGCCAGAUAGGAGACAUCACCUGGCCGGACCACAGUCCGGUACACCUCCAACUGCACAAUACAUUUCAGUUCAGAGGCCGGGGGCAGUGGCGGCUUAACAAAUCCCUUCUAGUAGACGAGACCUUCUGGGAUCUAGUCCGCACCAAGCUAACAGAAUACUUUCAAACGAACGGGUCAGGG